RNAcentral lists this ribosomal RNA (460 nucleotides) under uncultured bacterium. Its description in RNAcentral is "partial 16S ribosomal RNA". It matches the Rfam family "Bacterial small subunit ribosomal RNA", at positions 338 to 795 of the family's 1533-position model. The record is from RNAcentral.
CCUACGGGAGGCUGCAGUGAGGAAUAUUGGUCAAUGGGCGCAAGGCUGAACCAGCCAAGUAGCGUGAAGGAAGACGGCCCUAUGGGUUGUAAACUUCUUUUAUAAGGGAAUAAAGGGAGGCACGUGGGGCUAGUAGUAUGUACCAUAUGAAUAAGGAUAGGCGAACUCCGAGCCAGCAGCCGCGGUAAUACGGAGGAUGCGAGCGUUAUCCGGAGUUAUUGGGUUUAAAGGGUGCGUAGGUGGAUUUUUAAGUCAGCUGUGACAGUUUGCGGCUCAACCGUAAAAUUGCCUUUGAAACUGGCCGCCUUGAGUGCAGUUGAGGUAGGCGGAAUUCGUGGUGUAGCGGUGAAAUGCUUAGAUCUCACGCAGAACUCCGAUUGCGAAGGCAGCUUACUAAGCUGCCACUGACAUUGCUGCUCGAAAGUGUGGGUAUCAAACAGGAUUAGAUACCCCUGUAGUC